RNAcentral lists this ribosomal RNA (458 nucleotides) under uncultured bacterium. Its description in RNAcentral is "partial 16S ribosomal RNA". It matches the Rfam family "Bacterial small subunit ribosomal RNA", at positions 338 to 795 of the family's 1533-position model. The record is from RNAcentral.
CCUACGGGAGGCAGCAGUGAGGAAUAUUGGUCAAUGGGCGAGAGCCUGAACCAGCCAAGUCGCGUGAGGGAGUACUUCCCUAUGGGUUGUAAACCUCUUUUGUCGGGGAGCAAAAGCCGGACGUGUCCGGCUGUGAGAGUACCCGAAGAAAAAGCAUCGGCUAACUCCGUGCCAGCAGCCGCGGUAAUACGGAGGAUGCGAGCGUUAUCCGGAUUUAUUGGGGUUAAAGGGGGCGCAGGCGGGUUUUUAAGUCAGCGGUCAAAUUGUGGGGCUCAACCCCAUCCAGCCGGUGAAACUGGGGAUUCAGAGUGUGCGAGAGGUAUGGGGAAGGCGGGGUGGAGCGGUGAAAUGCAUAGAUAUCACGCAGAACCCCGAUUGCGAAGGCAGCAUACCGGUGCACAACUGACGCUCAGGCACGAAAGCGUGGGUAUCGAACAGGAUUAGAUACCCUGGUAGUC